This 369-nucleotide ribosomal RNA is filed under the name uncultured bacterium. Its description in RNAcentral is "bacterial SSU rRNA". It matches the Rfam family "Bacterial small subunit ribosomal RNA", at positions 29 to 412 of the family's 1533-position model. The record is from RNAcentral.
AGCGAACGCUGGCGGCAGGCCUAACACAUGCAAGUCGAACGGCUCUUCGGAGCAGUGGCGGACGGGUGAGUAACGCGUGGGAACGUGCCCUUUGGUACGGAACAACUGAGGGAAACUUCAGCUAAUACCGUAUGUGCCCCUCUUCUUAGCGGAAGGGGUGGGAAAGAUUUAUCGCCAUUGGAGCGGCCCGCGUUGGAUUAGGUAGUUGGUGGGGUAAAGGCCUACCAAGCCUACGAUCCAUAGCUGGCUGAGAGGAUGAUCAGCCACACUGGGACUGAGACACGGCCCAGACUCCUACGGGAGGCAGCAGGUGGGGAAUCUUGCGCAAUGGGCGAAAGCCUGACGCAGCCAUGCCGCGUGUAUGAUGAA